UGGGGAAUAUUGCACAAUGGGCGCAAGCCUGAUGCAGCGACGCCGCGUGAGGGAUGAAGGCCUUCGGGUUGUAAACCUCUUUCAGCAGGGAAGAAGCGCAAGUGACGGUACCUGCAGAAGAAGCGCCGGCUAACUACGUGCCAGCAGCCGCGGUAAUACGUAGGGCGCAAGCGUUGUCCGGAAUUAUUGGGCGUAAAGAGCUCGUAGGCGGUCUGUCGCGUCUGCUGUGAAAACUCGAGGCUCAACCUCGGGCUUGCAGUGGGUACGGGCAGACUAGAGUGCGGUAGGGGAGACUGGAAUUCCUGGUGUAGCGGUGGAAUGCGCAGAUAUCAGGAGGAACACCGAUGGCGAAGGCAGGUCUCUGGGCCGCAACUGACGCUGAGGAGCGAAAGCAUGGGGAGCG
This 403-nucleotide ribosomal RNA is filed under the name uncultured bacterium. RNAcentral describes it as "bacterial SSU rRNA". It matches the Rfam family "Bacterial small subunit ribosomal RNA", at positions 355 to 770 of the family's 1533-position model. The record is from RNAcentral.